GUUGAUUUCUUGAAAUUCAGUCAUUUCGCUUUUCUCUCUGGACUAUUUCGCGUGUUGCUCGAGGUUCCCAAUUACUUGAAGAAAAUAUAUUCUCAAAAGCGAAGAAGAAGUCGUUCACUAUUUCAGCACGAAUGCCAAGAACCAGGUUGAGAAGCACAUUGGUGAUCGAGGUAACGUUGAUCCUCGAUAAACUUACGAAUGGAGCGUACAAUUUGGUUUUCUGGCAAUUGCGACGAACGAAACGCUACGAUAUUCUGUCGACGAAAGUAAUCAAACUUUUGUGUAUCAUUGUUCAACGAACCUGUAAACCACACUAUUUUACCGAUCAGGCCCACCAAGCCACCAUUAAAAAAAAAACGUAAGCUGACCACGAUACGAAAUUGCAUCGUAAAUAUAUGGAUGCAUAAUUUUGAAUAAUGAAGAAGUUGCGAUAGGGGCUGCACGUUCUCGAAUGAUUAUAUACAACUCGGGUACAUUGGUGAGCUCAUAUCGUUCUCAGCUUUCAUUCGAGAUUCAACGUCAUCAUGAAGUGGUUACGGUAUUCUGUAGUCAGACUUGCACUUCUGGCGUAUUCUUUUUCUUAUGUCAACACGGCUACGAGGGAGCAACUAGGGUCGAUUUUCCUCCGUCUCUACAAUGGAAGGAAUACGGAAGAUUAUGUCGAUGCGGAUAUUCACGAAGCAGAAACGCUCACACUCGAUUUAAAUGUUGACAAACCGAUGGUUGUUUAUGUUCAUGGUUUUACGGAAAGCGUAAACAGCACCAGCGUUCAAACCAUUGUCGAAGCAUAUCUCAAUCGUUCGGACCACAACAUAUUGGUGGUCGAUUGGAAUAUCAUAGCUCGGGAAAAUUACAUCCAGGUUGCUACAAACGUCGAAUCGGUUGGAACCACAGUCGCAAAGGCCUUAAAUGAUAUCGUUCAUGGAGGCUUUCCUGCUAAAAAUAUUCACGUUGUUGGUCACUCGAUGGGUGCUCAUGUUUCAGCGUACGUCGGACGAAAUGUUGAUUUUCCACUUCAACGUAUCACGGGUCUAGAUCCUGCGGGUCCGCUUUUCAACUUUAUCGGUCGCCAUCUCUCUUACGCGGAUGCACAAUUCGUCGAUAUAAUCCACACUGAUGCAGGUUUUUAUGGCAUAACUCGCAUAACGGGUACUGUAGAUUUUUUCCCGAACAAAGGACGGAGAAUUCAGCCCGGUUGUCCGACUGCAUUCACGCCUUACAGCGAAGAAGCCACCAUCGAUCUUGGAUUUUCUAUUCCGAAUCCUUGAUAAGCGAAAAAGCUUUUCUGGCAGUUAAGUGUUCGAACCUCAUGAGGAAAAGACGUAGCUCCCCAGCUCUCGUCAUGGGAUAUGCUGUUCCGAAAGAUGCAAAAGGAUCGUACUGCCUCGUUACCAGUCCCUCGGCACCCUAUGGCUUGGGGGAGGCGGGUGCCCGGGAGACUUAUCUGUGAAAAUUCCUUCCUGGAAAAAGAGCCAGUGGAAAGGGAAACCUACAUCCACGUUCCGUAAGAAGGGCUUAUGGGAAUUUGAGAUAAAACAUCCCUAUUUUUGGCUUCUUAGAACGCGAAUUUUUCACGUAGUCAAGAUAUUCUUGCCUGGGCAUUUUUUGGGAGUUGAUUGAACAAAAAAAAUAACAAAAGUAACUCUAGAACCGAAUAAAUGUAUGUUUAGAAAUAA
Molecule: unclassified non-coding RNA, 1676 nt
Filed under: Venturia canescens
Lineage: Eukaryota; Metazoa; Arthropoda; Insecta; Hymenoptera; Ichneumonidae
Description: lipase member H-like, transcript variant X1
Source: RNAcentral